UCCCUCUCAGGAUUGCACCUGGAGAGUUUCCAGUACUCUACCAGUCUCGGCUCUGGGAGGAGGAAUCAAGCAGAGGGCUACCCAUUCCAUUCCUGGCUUGACCAGUGACUAGCAACUGGAAGGCAAUCUGCUACAAGU
Molecule: small nucleolar RNA, 138 nt
Organism: Tachyglossus aculeatus (Australian echidna)
Lineage: Eukaryota; Metazoa; Chordata; Mammalia; Monotremata; Tachyglossidae
Source: RefSeq, a predicted model, not a curated record